Molecule: small nuclear RNA, 159 nt
Filed under: Triticum dicoccoides
Lineage: Eukaryota; Viridiplantae; Streptophyta; Magnoliopsida; Poales; Poaceae
Description: snRNA U1
Rfam family: U1 spliceosomal RNA
About the family: U1 is a small nuclear RNA (snRNA) component of the spliceosome (involved in pre-mRNA splicing). Its 5' end forms complementary base pairs with the 5' splice junction, thus defining the 5' donor site of an intron.
Source: RNAcentral
AUACUGACAUGGACCGGGUCCAUUGAACGAUAAAGAAGGCUCAUGGCCUAGAUCAAUGGUUCACAUUGCAUGUAGUGAGUCCGUUGAUCUACCAUCUCCUUCGGGAGAGUGGACGUCAUAAUUUAUGAUAGAGGGGGUACGCGUCUGCGCAGCCCUGCC